AAAAAAUCGUAACAAGGUCUCCGUAGGUGAACCUGCGGAGGGAUCAUUACACAAAUAUGAAGGCGGGCUGGAACCUCUCGGGGUUACAGCCUUGCUGAAUUAUUCACCCUUGUCUUUUGCGUACUUCUUGUUUCCUUGGUGGGUUCGCCCACCACUAGGACAAACAUAAACCUUUUGUAAUUGCAAUCAGCGUCAGUAACAAAUUAAUAAUUACAACUUUCAACAACGGAUCUCUUGGUUCUGGCAUCGAUGAAGAACGCAGCGAAAUGCGAUAAGUAGUGUGAAUUGCAGAAUUCAGUGAAUCAUCGAAUCUUUGAACGCACAUUGCGCCCUUUGGUAUUCCAAAGGGCAUGCCUGUUCGAGCGUCAUUUGUACCCUCAAGCUUUGCUUGGUGUUGGGCGUCUUGUCUCUAGCUUUGCUGGAGACUCGCCUUAAAGUAAUUGGCAGCCGGCCUACUGGUUUCGGAGCGCAGCACAAGUCGCACUCUCUAUCAGCAAAGGUCUAGCAUCCAUUAAGCCUUUUUUUCAACUUUUGACCUCGGAUCAGGUAGGGAUACCCGCUGAACUUAAGCAUAUCAAUAAGCGGAGGAAAAGAAACCAACAGGGAUUGCCCUAGUAACGGCGAGUGAAGCGGCAACAGCUCAAAUUUGAAAUCUGGCUCUUUUAGAGUCCGAGUUGUAAUUUGCAGAGGGCGCUUUGGCUUUGGCAGCGGUCCAAGUUCCUUGGAACAG
Molecule: ribosomal RNA, 730 nt
Filed under: Alternaria sp. G17
Lineage: Eukaryota; Fungi; Ascomycota; Dothideomycetes; Pleosporales; Pleosporaceae
Description: eukaryotic LSU rRNA
Rfam family: 5.8S ribosomal RNA (bases 215-368)
Source: RNAcentral